RNAcentral lists this ribosomal RNA (171 nucleotides) under Triticum aestivum (bread wheat). RNAcentral's name for it is "partial small subunit ribosomal RNA". Lineage: Eukaryota; Viridiplantae; Streptophyta; Magnoliopsida; Poales; Poaceae. The record is from RNAcentral.
AUGAUUAAAGGAGAAGUCUGUUCUAUUGCCAAACAUAUGCAGUUCAAAUCACAUCUUAUAAUAAUAAGAAAUAUUUCUCGGUAUCAAUCCCAUUGCCCCUUAUUCUUUGAGAAUCCGAAGGAUUGUUUUCGAGUUUCCCGAGCUCUUUUAUCUUUGACUUGUUUGUUAUAG